UGAUAGAAAGGUUUUAUUUUUUAAAGUGUGGAAGCUGUGUUUUUUUUUACUUUAAAGAAAAUAAAGGAUGAAAAUCGGUGCAGCAGAAUCUGGAUUAUUAGGUCUACCCACAUUACCCACAAUGCAAUUCAACCAAAUCAUAUUCACUUCUGAACAGUUUUGAUUUGUACAUAAUAAAAAAAAUGAUUCACAGUGCAAGUAAAAACCUUCAGAAUCUGUAUUUAAACAGUUGCAUCUCAGUUUUUCCUUUCACUCUUAAUUUAAAAUAAUCCACGCUGCUAAACCGGCUCCAUCUGCGGCUCUGGGACUUCACCGUUUGUGGGCUCGACGCUGAGACUGUGAGGGAGAGAAUGUGCAUGUCAACAACCUUUUUAUACGGUACGAUUAAAGAUGGAGGAAAAAAUAAGAAGUGUGCUGGGAUGAUGCUGAAACUAAAAAAAGAGGAUACAUGAAGGAUGCUUGUGUACGAUAGACACGACCGUUUCUUAAUCCUAUUUUUAGAGGAAUAAGAGGAAUAAAUGCUAUGAAGGUACAGUGUUUUUUUUCUUUCUGUUUUUCCCCUGGAGAACAUAAGGUGUAUAUUUUAUGUGCAAAAGAAAGAAGAACUACAUCAACAACAAAAAAAGAUGAAAACAAUCUGUUCUUGUUUACAGAAUCUCUGUUUUUCUAAAUAACUGAUCAGUGUCAGAAAAUGGAUUAUCACCUGUUUUUCAUUUGGAUAUCGAGGUUUGAGUAUUUGUUUUGGAUUAUGUUUUUCUUUCUGUUCUAAAAACAAAAACAUCCUGUAACAGUCAAGUCACAGGUUCCUAUUCUACAAGAGCCAAAGCUUUGGAUCAACAGCCACGGUUAUUCAUCACUCGACUUAAAAAAAAAAAAAAAGAAACAACAACUGCAGUGUAAAUACCUUCCAAACAUUUCCAAAACAUCUCUUCAAAACUGAGUUUAUUUUUUGAUUCUUGGUUUUGAUUGUUUCGAUGUAGAGUUAAAGUACCUCUGGCCUUAAACUGCUUUAAAAGGUGAAGACUACUUCAGAACCGCUCUGAUGGAAACGACGCACUGGCAACAAUUUAGAGCAGCAGUGAACGGUCAACAUUUCUGGAAGGAAAUGAAAGAUGAAUGAGAUAAUCUAUUAAUCUGCUGGUUUACGAUAUGCCCUGUUGGUACGGUGCAGAACAAUGCUUGGGCCAUGCUCUUGAUCCAGCGGUCAAAAACUUCACAGAAGUUUGUGAAAUAUUGAAAAUGAGAGACCCUAAAAGGAGGAGUACGCACAAAGAGAUUCAGUUAUCAAUGACUGGCCGGUUUGCUCAAACAAUUUAUUAUUCUAAAAUGAUUCUUUCCACCUUACUGUCGCAGCACUGAAACAAGAACAGGGAGUUGAAAUUGAACAAACUCAUUAUGGUCACAAAUGUGAACACUGACUGCUGAAGUGUCUUUGAGCAAGACACUAAAGCAUCCUCACUUUAAACUGCCUGAAACUGUUGCCACUGUGUGUUUAUUCUUCAACUAUCAGAAAGUUUUAUUAGAUGUCUGUCGGGUUUGAAACCACAAGAAUUUUACUUUUGUUAGGUACUUUGAUGAGCUCGUAUUAAUCUGACAGUGAAAAUGUUGUCUACCUGUAGGUCUUUCUUUUGAUGAUGGGUCCAUCUAAGAAUAAUUUAUGAACAAUUGUGCAGUUUGUUUACCUGCUGCCUAAAAGAUGUAGUUUCAGAUUCACAAUUUUAGUUUGGAUAACUACCCAAAUUAAUAAAAAUCUACUGACAAAUUUUUAUGUAAAAUAUCCUUGGGAAAGUUGAGGUGACACAAAAUGGAAUAAUCCCAUUAACAUUAAUAGAAAACAAAGUAAACUCAGUUUAAUUUACAAUCAUGAGGGACUCUUAGUGGUUGAUUGUUGGCGUUUCUGCCUCUAAACUACAAGUUAAACUAAUAUUCCUGAUGACCAUCACAUCCUGCCUUUUUUGCCUCGUCUGGUUAACUAAAUUAAAAUAUUUUUUUUUAGUGUCACCAAGCAGGUCACAGUCAUCAAAUCAUCUUUGGGGGGGGGGGGGGGUUCAGACUUGGUACAGUCAUGAGAUGGUCGAUGUAGUCUUCACUCCCCGGUGUAUCGGAGCCAUAAUUUAUCUGUUUAUAAGUCAUUUUGAUUAUUUGAAACAACUCUGGAAAAUGAAAAGAAUAAAGCUGUACAAAAACUGGAAA
This is a long non-coding RNA of Labrus mixtus (cuckoo wrasse), 2193 nucleotides long. RefSeq lists it as uncharacterized. The record is from RefSeq and is a predicted model, not a curated record. The transcript has 2 exons. NCBI's taxonomy places the organism in Eukaryota, Metazoa, Chordata, Actinopteri, Labriformes, Labridae.